AGCUUUGCACAGUGGCAGUAUUGUAGCCAAUGAGGUUUAUCCAAGGUGCGAUUAUUGCUGGUAGAAAAGAA
Molecule: small nuclear RNA, 71 nt
Filed under: Mus musculus (house mouse)
Lineage: Eukaryota; Metazoa; Chordata; Mammalia; Rodentia; Muridae
Description: U4 spliceosomal RNA
Rfam family: U4 spliceosomal RNA
About the family: U4 small nuclear RNA (U4 snRNA) is a component of the major U2-dependent spliceosome. The structure of U4 snRNA from yeast and human has been reported.
Source: Rfam by way of RNAcentral